CCUACGGGCGGCUGCAGUGGGGAAUAUUGCACAAUGGGCGCAAGCCUGAUGCAGCCAUGCCGCGUGUGUGAAGAAGGCCUUCGGGUUGUAAAGCACUUUCAGCGGGGAGGAAGGCGUUAAGGUUAAUAACCUUGUCGAUUGACGUUACCCGCAGAAGAAGCACCGGCUAACUCCGUGCCAGCAGCCGCGGUAAUACGGAGGGUGCAAGCGUUAAUCGGAAUUACUGGGCGUAAAGCGCACGCAGGCGGUCUGUCAAGUCGGAUGUGAAAUCCCCGGGCUCAACCUGGGAACUGCAUUCGAAACUGGCAGGCUAGAGUCGUGUAGAGGGGGGUAGAAUUCCAGGUGUAGCGGUGAAAUGCGUAGAGAUCGGGAGGAAUACCGGUGGCGAAGGCGGCCCCCUGGACAAAGACUGACGCUCAGGUGCGAAAGCGUGGGGAGCAAACAGGAUUAGAUACCCGAGUAGUC
This 465-nucleotide ribosomal RNA is filed under the name uncultured Klebsiella sp. RNAcentral's name for it is "bacterial SSU rRNA". It matches the Rfam family "Bacterial small subunit ribosomal RNA", at positions 338 to 795 of the family's 1533-position model. Lineage: Bacteria; Pseudomonadati; Pseudomonadota; Gammaproteobacteria; Enterobacterales; Enterobacteriaceae. The record is from RNAcentral.